CCUCAGGGGUGACACCUCAGAGCUCCUGUUUACCUCUUUAGCCACCAGGAAGACAUUAGGACUCCCAGAGGGUGACUCCAGGGGCAGGUGGCUUGGAGGACUGGCCGUGCAAGGAGGCAGCAAAGGGGCGGCCAUCUGCAAGCUGAGGGCAGAGGCCUUGGAGGAAGCAGCCCUGCCAGUGCUGGUAACUCCUGCAGGUCGGAAGUCCAAACCAAGGUGCUGGAAGGGCUGGUUCCUUCCGGACCCUUCAGGGGAGAAUCUUUCUGCCUCUUUGGCUUCUUGAGGCCCCUUCCUGGCAUUGCUUCUUUCUCCACUGACUCCUACCAUCAGCGCUGAGUCCUGCCUGCCUCUUAUAAGAUCUUCAGAGGCCACCUGGGAUGUCAGAAGCUUCCAGGAACCAGGAGGUAGCUGCAUCUCCUGUCCCUUCCCUGAGUCACCUUGCUGGACUCCACAGUGUGGUGCAGACAAGAAGCUGCAGGGGACAACAUGGAAGGAAGCGGGGAUGGAGGAGAUGGAAUGGGAUGGGCUCUGGGCCCGGCCAAGCAGAGCAGGAUAGGGCUGAGAGUCAUCUGAGCACAGGUGGUUCAAAUGGCAGAGAAGCUCCACGCUGGAGCGGGGAAGAGCUUGGGCUUUCCGGCCAGAAAGCGCAGGUUUUGGCCACGGCUCUUCUGCCACUCACUAGAUGUGGGAGUUUGGAGGCGUUACCCGAGCUCUGAGCCUUACUUUCCUCAUCUGAAAAAUGGGAAUAAUGGUAGGGUUAAAUUAAACCAAAUUUGGUCUGAGGAUGCCUCUGCACUUUGAGUCCAACUGCGACCUUAGCAGCAAAUGAACUGCAGGCCUAGCUUAGGAGUGUACUUUUGUAAGAAAUAGCCGAGUCUUAGCCAAUCACAGCAGCUGAGCUUCUAUAAAUCGCAGGUGGCUGCUGAGUAGUCCAUGUUCAAACACGGCAAACCAAGCUGUGACCAAUGAGCUGUCUCUGCAGCUCACUUCCAUUUUCUGUCUAUAAACACUCCCUGCCCACACUGUGGAGUGGAGCUCAGCCCUUGGAACCUCUUCUGGUCUGAGGGCUGCCCACUUCAUGAAUCCUUUGCUUAAUUAAACUCAAUUCAUUUCAAAUGAAA
Molecule: long non-coding RNA, 1121 nt
Organism: Homo sapiens (human)
Lineage: Eukaryota; Metazoa; Chordata; Mammalia; Primates; Hominidae
Exons: 4
Source: RefSeq, a predicted model, not a curated record